UGUGACUAUACUAUUAUUGUAUAAAUAUAUAUAUAUAUAUACAAUGUUCAUAAAAUUGUAAAUACUUUUUAUUACUAUUUGGCUUUUUUUUUUUUUGAAUUUUUUUUUAGGUAAAAUAUUAAAAGACAAAGAAACUUUAACAUUUUACAAUGUAGCAGAUGGAAAUACUAUGCAUUUAGUUCGUAGUGCCAUAGUCCCAAAAGAACGUAAUUAAUAUAAAAAAAAAAAAAAAAAAAAAAACUAGACAAGUAUAUACAUAUUAUACAUAUAUGUGAUUAUUUGCACGUCUAUCUAAUUUCGUACGGAUAUAUAUAAGUACGCAUAAAUGUACGCACGCAUGUGUGUAUAUACAUAAUUACCCAAUUUAUAACAUUUAUAGCCGAACCUGAGAAGGAAACUAACAAUAACGAAAACGCAAGUAUCAAUCAAAACACAAACCCAGCUGAUAGUGUUAACGACUUUAACGAGAACCCAUUGGUACAAUUGUUAAUGCAAAAUGGAAAUAGAGAUGGGAACAAUUUCAAUAUGGGUGCAGGAGGUACAGACGGUUUUAACUUAGGAAAUUUCGCAAAUUUAUUAAAUGCAAACGGUGGUGCUGAAUUUAAUAGAGAUAGUAUAAGCUCCUUAUUAAAUAAUCCUUUGGCUAGGUCAUUAAUAAACGAAUUAAGCAAUAACCCUGAAAUGUUAUCUAACUUAAUAUCGAACAACCCUUUGUUAAGAAACACUUUUUCACAAAGCCCACUUAUGCAACCUGUUUUAGAAAACCCCAAUUUAUUAAGAGAGCUAAUGAGACCAGAAGUGUUACAAGCUGGUUUACAAUUUGAAAAUGCAUUUAAUAUGAAUAACGCCAACAACCCAAAUAAUGUUGCAAUGAAUCCUAACCCUAACCCUAACCCAAACGCAAAUACUAAUGUUAAUACUAAUGCAGCAAAUAAUGCUACCAAUCCUACUAAUACUAAUGCAAGAGGAGGACUUAGAUUAGAUGAUUUAAUAAACAACUUAGGUUCUUUUGUUAAUACAAACAAUCCUUCGAACCCUAAUAAUACAGCUGAUAACAACAAUAACCCAGCUAAUAAUAAUUUAAAUGCAUUAUUUCAAUCACCAGAAUUAUUACAAACUUUUCAACAAAUGUUGGGCUCAAAUCGUAACUUCAGUAAUUUUAAUUUCCCAGGUGCUAAUCAACCUAUGGACUUUAAUGCUGCAAAUUUAACAGAUGAUAGACCACCUGAAGAAAAAUACGCAUCACAAUUAAUGAGUUUGCAAGAAAUGGGUUUUAUUGAUAAUGAUGCGAAUAUUCAAGCGUUACAAGAAACAGGCGGAGAUGUUAAUUCAGCCAUAACACGAUUAUUAGAAAAGGGUUACAAUUAGGCUUACUUGUAUGUUUUAUGUUUAGGUACAUGUGCGCGUGCGUAGGUGCGUGAACAUGUUAUGUGCUCUAUCAUGUGCGUGCUUAUUUAUUUAUUUUUAUUUUAUUAUAUAUAAAUGUAUGAAAUUUUGUGAAUUCCUUUACCCAUUCCAUUUGCAUAGAAACUAUAAUGUACUAUAUAUUUUAUACACAAUGUGUACAUACAUAUACAGAUACAUACAUGCGUACACAUGCACACACAUAUAUAUAUAUAUAUAUAUAUAUAUAUAUAUAUAUAUAUAUAUAUANNNNNNNNNNAUAUAUAUAUAUAUAUAUAUAUAUAUAUAUAUAUAUAUAUAUAUAUACAUUAUGUGACUUACCACGCACUAUUUUUAUAUUGCUUGUACAUUGAUAUAGUUUGUGUAUAUUUAUUCUUGAAACAGUUGAAACUAUUUAAAAUUUAAGCACAGUUUUAAUUACUACUAUAUAUGUACACAUAUAUAUAUAUAUCAAUAUCGAGUGUAUUAAUUUUAAUUAGUGUGUAACAACAUAUACAUAUAAAUAUAUACAUAAGUCAUAUCGAACUGUUCCAUAUCGUUUUAUGCCCGUAUAAUUUCUUUACUGUUUAUUAUUUCGUCAUCCUACCUCACAUUCUAAUGUGCUUAUUUUUUGUGUAUAUAAAAAACUUUUAAAGAUAAAUUAUU
RNAcentral lists this long non-coding RNA (2049 nucleotides) under Piliocolobus tephrosceles (Ugandan red Colobus). RNAcentral's name for it is "lncRNA (ENSPTEG00000001900.1)". The record is from RNAcentral. Lineage: Eukaryota; Metazoa; Chordata; Mammalia; Primates; Cercopithecidae.